Pelodiscus sinensis (Chinese soft-shelled turtle) is the source of this 429-nucleotide non-coding RNA. The record is from RefSeq and is a predicted model, not a curated record. Lineage: Eukaryota; Metazoa; Chordata; Testudines; Trionychidae.
UAACCUUUGUCCUCUUAGCAAAGAGUAGUGUUUGUGAUUGCAAAUCAGGCUCCUAGCCAGCCUGGCUAUUUCAGAGGUAGAUCUAUGUUUCAUCCUGCUCACUGGAACACACAUAAUCUUUUAGAUUUUAGUGCUGUCUCAUUAAGGACGUAGAUUUUUGUGUUGUGUGUGAAUGUUAUUGUGUAUGGUACAGAGCUUAGAAGGAGGGAUGCUGUCACUUCUGCCUUGUUAAUUUCCUUUGUCCAUUUGUUCUUCCCAGUUUCCUUGACUUGCUGUAUAGUUUCUGCCAGCAAGUGAUUCAUUUAUUGAUGCUGAAGCAAUUACAGCAAGGUCUUCCUUUCUUAAAGAGACAAUCUCAGUUCUGUGCUUUCCCACACUGAAGCAUCGAUUCUAGACUUUCUGUUCAGGGAAUGUCUGUAUUAAAGCCAG